AUGGCCUCGAGCUCCCUCCUGCUCCUGGCCCUGCUGGCCCUGCUGGCCCUGCCAGGGCUCCGGGCGGCCGUGACCCUGCUGGAGUCCGGGGGGGACCUCCAGCCCCCCGGGGGGUCCCUGACUCUGCUCUGCCGCGCCUCUGGGUUCAAUUUUGGAAACCACGACAUGUUCUGGAUCCGCCAGAGCCCCGGGAAGUCACUGGAAUGGAUUGCAGGGAUCAGCUACGGUGGUGGCCUCACCUUCUACGCGCCGUCAGUGCAGGGCCGGUUCAGGAUCUCCAGGGACAACGGGCAGAGCUCGGUGACGCUGACCAUGAACAACCUCAAGGACGAGGAUUCCGGUGCCUAUUUCUGUGCCAAAUGUGUUGGUGCUUAUUGUGAUUACGAGGCUUAUGUCGCCCCUGUUUCCACCAAUGGUCACCAGUGA
Molecule: non-coding RNA, 426 nt
Organism: Oenanthe melanoleuca
Lineage: Eukaryota; Metazoa; Chordata; Aves; Passeriformes; Muscicapidae
Source: the annotation of a RefSeq genome assembly